ACCGUGGUAAUUCUAGAGCUAAUACAUGCUAAAACUCCUGACUUCUGGAAGGGAGUGUAUUUAUUAGAUAAAAAGCCAAUAUCGGGCAACCGAUUCCUAUGGUGAUUCAUAAUAACUUUUCGAAUCGCAGUGACUUUACGUCGGCGAUGAAUCAUUCAAAUUUCUGCCCUAUCAACUUUCAAUGGUAGGAUAGAGGCCUACCAUGGUAGUAACGGGUAACGGGGUGUUAGGGCACGACACCGGAGAGGGAGCCUGAGAAACGGCUACCACAUCCAAGGAUGGCAGCAGGCGCGCAAAUUACCCAAUCCCGAUACGGGGAGGUAGUGACAAUAAAUAACAAUACGGGGUUCUUAUGGAUCUCGUAAUUGGAAUGAGUACAAUUUAAAUCUCUUAACGAGGAACGAUUGGAGGGCAAGUCUGGUGCCAGCAGCCGCGGUAAUUCCAGCUCCAAUAGCGUAUAUUAAAGUUGUUGCAGUUAAAAAGCUCGUAGUUGAAUUUCGGGAUCAAUUUAUCGGUCGUGCCAAUGGUAUGAACUGGUACAAUUGGUUUCUCCCUUCUGACGAAGCAUGAUGUCAUUAAUUUGGUGUCGUGGGGAAUCAGGACUGUUACUUUGAAAAAAUUAGAGUGUUUAAAGCAAGCAUUAGCUUGAAUACAUUAGCAUGGAAUAAUGAAAUAGGACGUUUGAUCCUAUUUCGUUGGUUUCUAGGAUCGACGUAAUGAUUAAUAGGGAUAGUUGGGGGCAUUAGUAUUCAAUUGUCAGAGGUGAAAUUCUUGGAUUUAUUGAAGACUAACUACUGCGAAAGCAUUUGCCAAGGAUGUUUUCAUUAAUCAAGAACGAAAGUUAGGGGAUCGAAGACGAUCAGAUACCGUCGUAGUCUUAACCAUAAACUAUGCCGACUAGGGAUCGGAUGAUGUUAAUUUUUUAAUGACUCAUUCGGCGCCUUACGGGAAACCAAAGUGUUUGGGUUCCGGGGGGAGUAUGGUCGCAAGGCUGAAACUUAAAGGAAUUGACGGAAGGGCACCACCAGGGGUGGAGCCUGCGGCUUAAUUUGACUCAACACGGGGAAACUCACCAGGUCCAGACAUAGUAAGGAUUGACAGAUUGGGAGCUCUUUCUUGAUUCUAUGGGUGGUGGUGCAUGGCCGUUCUUAGUUGGUGGAGUGAUUUGUCUGGUUAAUUCCGAUAGCGUACGGGACCUUAACCUGCUAAAUAGCUAGGCUUAGCA
This 1225-nucleotide ribosomal RNA is filed under the name metagenome. Its description in RNAcentral is "SSU rRNA". It matches the Rfam family "Eukaryotic small subunit ribosomal RNA", at positions 146 to 1370 of the family's 1831-position model. The record is from RNAcentral.